CAAAAUUAUUUGGCCGCCCACCAACGUUUGGCAUCGGGAUUGACGCCUUGAACGGGCUCGUCGGGAAUGUCACCCGGGCAGAGGAACGUCACGUCGCCGCAUCUCGGAAAGGAAAUAUUUUGACGUCGGAACAUUGACGUGCUGUGACAUCAAAGAAGUGAACCAACCGACACUUGGAUGAAAGACGCCGACGCGAGCGAGCUUUGUUGCAGGCGGCAGCGCCGAUCUCUUUUGCGGGUGACAAACGCAGCUUCUCUUUUCUCUUCCUAUUUAUUUGACUCGGAAUGUGUUGAGCGUUAGCCCAGUUUGCGCUCGCUCGCUCGUGGCGUCCAGGUUUUGGUCCCUGCUGGAUUCGUCUUCCUCGAGGCUCCACGUUUGAAGUUUGCCGUCCAAUUAAAAUCCUGCACGCGGUUGGUGUUUGUUUUGCCUUGCCGUCGCACAAACGUCAACGCCAUCCUUUCAUCUUAUUUGAAUUUGCAUUAAAAAAAAAAAGAAA
Long non-coding RNA from Hippocampus zosterae (dwarf seahorse), 496 nucleotides. RefSeq lists it as uncharacterized. The transcript is spliced from 2 exons. Lineage: Eukaryota; Metazoa; Chordata; Actinopteri; Syngnathiformes; Syngnathidae. The record is from RefSeq and is a predicted model, not a curated record.